UUUUAAUUAUUUGCAAUUUAAAAUGAUUUUGAACAUUAUUUCUACAAAUAGAGAAAAGUUUUAUAAUAAUAUUAUUUUUACAAAUAUUGUGUAUUCCGAGUUCUAUACUUUUAUAUAUAGAUUUUAUUAUUAAAUUUGGGAAAUAUUUUAAAACCCCAAAUUGUUAUACAAUUUUUAUUAAUUGUGUGAAUAUGAUUUUAGUAUAAUAUUCAUACAUUUUGUUAAUUGGAAAAAGAAAGGUAGAUGUAGUACACGUGAAGUAUACAUUUUAUAGGCCCUGCGUAUGUUUAGUCUUUAUACUUAUAUAGAAAAGCAGAGUAAUCAGUCGGUGCAUAUAGUUUUGGAGGAAACAGGGGAAACUGAAUUAGGGUUACAGAAGUCGCCACCGUUAAGGAGGUGGAGCCAGCCUUGUGUGUACUGAAGCUUAUAUAGGCAUAUACUCACGGUUGUGUGUUGCUGUUGGUGCGGGUUCGGAGCAUAAGCGAUGGUGGUGGUGUGUCGAUUGAUGGCGGCGGCUUGCCGCCUGUUGGAUUGAUCGCGACUGAAUCGAUGGAGAAGGGGGCCGCGUUAGCAGAUGGAGAAAUAAGGUGAGAGAUCGAGUUAGAUAUGAUGGUAGAGAGGCUGGGUUGAUUGUGAAGCUGUUGAUGGUGCGGCGAAAGCAUGGAUGAAGGAUGGUUGCCGAGCGACGGUGAAAGUCGCAUGAGAUGCAGGUAGGGUGCGAGAACAGCCCUGUAGUGCUGCCGUGUUGUGGCUUAUAUGCUGCAGCGAGAAGGGAGGAGGGAUCAGCUGUGACAGAGAGAGGGAGGCAGACAAGUGUUUGAUUAAAUGUCUGUGAGAAAGAAAAGCUGGAGAAGGUGGGGUGCGGCUGCUGUUAGGUGUUGUAUAGAAGUGGGGGUGAUGAGUUGUGUUGGAAGUUGAAUGAAGGAGCUACUGUGAGCUGGUUUAUGAAGGCAGGAGUGUGUCGAUGGUUGUAGUGGGUCUGCUGGUUGGAGGCAGAUGCUUGUAUGGUUACCGGGGCAACGCGGAGGCAGUUGUUGUCACAGGUGGGUACUUGUGCCCAUAGGUCAGUCGUGUGAUUGAUUGUUGGAUUGAGUGCUGGUUGGAUUUGACGGGAGUUGUAGACGGUAGUGGGACAGCCAGAAUCUGGCCAGCCUAUUGCAGGAACAGGGGUAUGGGGAGGUGAUGUUCAUGACAUGAUUUGGUUGGAGAAAGUAAUGGGGAUAUUGAUAACGAUAAAGUCUGGUUCCGGCAGGUAGAGGUUUAGUUGUGGAUGGCGCUUUGAACUCGGCAAGUUGAUUAUAAUCAGGAGGGGAGUUUGAUGUGAAAAUUGAUGUAUAAAACAGUUCUGGCGUAGCCACCGGAGACUGGUCGGUGGUGCAAUACGAUUGUAGGUGUGUGUAUGAGUUGGAUACUUGUGGUGGAACAGUGCUUUAGACGGGAUAGUGGUGAAGGCUGGGGAAGAGGAAAUAUGAUAUGUUUUGUUAGAAGGGUUGCAGAAAGAAUUAGAGAGGAUACAGAGGUGCCAGGAGAAUAAAAUGUUAAUUUUAUUGUUGUUAUAAUUGUUAUUAUUGUUUUUAUUAACAAUGAUAAUAACGAUAAUAAUAAUAAUCUUUAAUAUUCUAUUGAGCCAAUUAUAGUCUCUCGAGACGUGUGCACCAACAAUUUUCAUAAAGCAAGCAAAUAGCGUGGCAAGGCAAGUCAGAAAUAAUUCGAUAAGGCAGAUGGUGCCGUAAGAUAGUCCAAUAGAGUGUGGUAAUUGGUGAGGUUAGCAAUUAAAGCCAAUCUAGGAAUCUCGAGUAUGUGACUAGGUUGUCACAAGCAUUUCUGUCAAAGGCAAGUAUUCCUAUUCUUCUCUUUUAUUUAAAGAGCAACUAUUUCAAUUCCUCUUUUCAUAAAGCAAGUUUGCAAUUAUAACUUGUACUUCCUGCAAGCAUGUUUCUGAUAUUUAAAAGUACUAAUGCUUCAAUCUUGUCUUGUGAUUUAAAAUAUCGAAUAUCUUUAGUUCGAUACUUUUUACUAUUAUAUGAGCAGUGACAACUUUCUUUGAAAAGUAUUCUGAUUAUUUUAAUCAGUUUUCUGGAAAUUAUUGUCUGAGUCCUUUUCCAGUUUGAAAACUAUUAAUGACUCCAUAGCAGUCAUAUUUCGAUACUACAAUAUAUGCCUGGUCUUCUGUCCCAGACAUAAACCCUGGAAAUUUUAAAUAGCGAAAAUAGUUGUUUUAAUUCCUUUGAGCCGCAUUGAGGUGGAUUUUAAAACUGUACUCAGACUUUAAUGAAAUUGAUUUUGACAGUAUUUUAAAACUGAAAAUGAAAGAGUUUUCAGAAAGGUUUUGAAAAAGAUGAUUGUAUGGCGUAAGGGGCUAGUGAUUAGUCCAGCCAGAGAGACCAGCAAAAUUAUUUUGUUUUGAUUGGAUGAAUGCGUAAGAGGCCGUGGCGGCGGUCCAGCGAAGGGCUAGGUAUUAUAUGAAAUAUAUAUAUAAUGCCAGAUUUGCCAAAGGCCAAUGUGUUGCCUUCUAUUCGGUACCUAUUGUUUGGAUCUACUUCUACGAAGCAUGAUUCGGUGCUAUCACAGGAUGUCCUGAUCAGCUGUGUUAGUGCGCCGUCAGUUGAGGAUUCCAAUCCAAAAACUGGUCAUUUAUUGUUUAAGCUUAUGAUAGCUUAUGUUUACUGUCAAAUAUAUCUUGUGAAUUUUCAAGCAUAUUGAUUUAUAUGUUUGAUAAACUUUUGAGUUACAAAUGUUAUGAUUUACUUCAAAAGUUUGCUCUAUUUCAAAUACUCUGAUUCAAUUCAAAAGAAUUUAUAUCUUGUGGCUCUUGCCUUUCCUAUUAUCUUGCUGAGCAUUUUUGCUCACUCUUGCUAUUGUUUCUCACCCUUUCAGCUAGGGAUUGAGAUAUCACCUGUAUAAGCUGCGCGUAAGAUUGAAGUUAGGCGAGAUUGCCAGGGAGAUGUUUACAAGAGUAGUUAUGGUUAGAAUUUGAUUUAUUUCAAUUCAGUUGUAAAUAGAUUUAUUUAUUUGGUUAUCAGUUAUUCUUCUUAUCGAAGUUUAGCUGUUAAUGUAGUUUAAGUUGUAAUAAGAUUGUAAGUUUUAGUUUCUGAUUUCAAUGCUGUAACCUAUUAGCGAUCCUGUUUUUAGGGGGUCAAAGUGAUUUUGAUUUAAAUCUCUUUUAAAAUUUCCAGAUUUUGAAAUAUCUGUUUUACCUUCUUCCGCAAAUACAGGUUUUUAAAUAAUUUUGUUUUAGUGGCACCAAAUCCAGACCCCCGGAUUUUGGGGAUGUCACAGUUGGUAUCAGAGCUGUAGGUUAUAAGUUAUUGAAAUCAAAAUAUAGGUGGUCUUACAAGUUAAGGAGAUGUUUAGUUGAACCUCAUAUAGAGGUACGUCAAGACUAUUGGGUAUAGUCUUUGCUAUUAGAACUGAGAUUGGAGUAUUGAUUCUGAGCAAUCACUUUGAGGUAUAUCCUAGUUUGCAGUUACAGGAUAGUGAGUUGGAUCUAAGGAGAAACAUGAUGGAACACCAUUAGUUUUCAAUCUUUUUGAACUUGAGGUUGACUUUUUGAGUAACCAAUCUCAGCUAGACUCGUUUGUAUACCUGUCUAGUCUAGAAUGUUUCUUUUCAUCUCUACCACUUUUUGAGUAUUAGUGGAGGGUCAUUUAUUGAUUUUCUAGAUAUAUAUAUAGAAUGAGUAUGAGACUUGUUGGGUUAGAGAUUCUUUGAUUUGAGGAUUAUAUAGAAUUCGUGUUUAGCUAUUUAAUUAGUGCUAUGAGUAGGCUAGAACUCCAACGCUCUACAAUGUUGAUUGUCUAAAGUUGAAGAUGACUUCUGAUCGUACCAAGCUGAAUAAGACUUUUUACUAAAGUGGAUUGCGGUGAUGGAAUCUUUAGAGUCGAAUACGAGUCGGUCAGAAUAUCAGAACAUCGAGAUGAGUCGUUAAAAUCGAAACGAGCCAUCAGAAGAAUCAAUCGAGAAGAUAUUUGUGUUCUUGUUGGCAAUACCUUCCUCAUUGUUGAUUAUAUUGAUUAUUUUCUCAAUCAAUAAUCUAUUUUAACAUCUCUUUUAUAAAGUUGUUUAUUAAAAAGCGUAUACUCUCUCUUGAGUAGUAUUGCUAUACUUGUGUUGGCCCAUAUUUUGGGUUUUGUGACAGAGUCUAAUAUGAUACCUAUUUUUAGGUUGUGGUAUGCCCUGUCGAGUUUGUGAAAAUUCAUUUAUACUUUUUCAUUUCUUCUCAAAAUGGUGAAUGAUUCUUAUUUCAAUAUAUCACCAUUUACUCGUUAUGUAUAAAUAUUCUUUCUGGUUAUUCUUUUCUCUAGAAUAACUCCUUUGAAAUUUUUUUCAGUUUUGAUCCAAGGUGUGCAUCAGAUUUUAAUUCGUCGAAAGACAAUGAUCAUUUAUCUGAUUCUAAAAUUCCUUUUAUAAUUAUUUCCUCUAACUGAGAUGAACAACCCUAUUCGUAGGGGACACAAUGACUACCUGUCUGUGUGAUAGGAGUUUGAUGGGACGCCAUCACUUGUGUGUUGUGCAUUACAAGAAGGCUAAUUACCUUUAGUAGUAUCUCCAAUUAGAUACGCAACAUAGUUCUCUAGAUCAUAUUGAUCUCUCAGUAAUUCUUAAUUUCAAAGUAGUUUUGUUUUUGAAACUAAUACAUAUGACAAUUACUUUAAUAUAUCAAAUCUGAUAUAUUUCAAAAAAAAAAAAAUUCAUGAUUCUUCUUUCUCCAAUUAAUUUUUGAGGGUAGGCCAGCCAGUUUUGGACGAGCUAAUCAUGCCAAUGCAUUUCAAGAUUUCGUAUAAGACUACAUUUAUAAAAGCAGAUCAUGAUUCGACUUGCAAGCAAUGACGUGCUCUAGUUCUUUCUUCGUGGAUUCCGAGGACGGAAUCCUUGUAAGGGGGGAAGUUUGUGAUGACUCGGAAAAUUAUAUAAUUGUUUAUUAGUUGUUAUUAAUUUUCUAAAAAGAUGAGGAAUAAAAUUUUAUAUUUUAUUCCAAUUUAUUGGGUUUUCCAAAACAAUUUUGAGAUUUUCUAUAAUUAUGUGAUUAUUUGAUUUAAUUGUGUUACUUGUUAAAUGUGCAUUUGAUUUGUUAUUUUAGUCUGAGCGGGUAGCUUAGAAAAUUUGAUUUAUGUUAUUCUUUUUGAUAAAGCAAAAUUGUCUUUUGAUUUCAAAACCAAUAUUUAUUUUGAAUUGAGCCCAAGAGUUUUGCCGGAUUUAAAUUACCAAAAUAUUCAAAUUGUGGUAUUUUUAUAUUUUUGUUGGAAUCAAAAAUAUUUGAAAGUUUGCAAAUGAUUAUUUUAAUUAUUUGCAAUUUAAAAUGAUUUUGAACAUUAUUUCUACAAAUAGAGAAAAGUUUUAUAAUAAUAUUAUUUUUACAAAUAUUGUGUAUUCCGAGUUCUAUACUUUUAUAUAUAGAUUUUAUUAUUAAAUUUGGGAAAUAUUUUAAAACCCCAAAUUGUUAUACAAUUUUUAUUAAUUGUGUGAAUAUGAUUUUAGUAUAAUAUUCAUACAUUUUGUUAAUUGGAAAAAGAAAGGUAGAUGUAGUACACGUGAAGUAUACAUUUUAUAGGCCCUGCGUAUGUUUAGUCUUUAUACUUAUAUAGAAAAGCAGAGUAAUCAGUCGGUGCAUAUAGUUUUGGAGGAAACAGGGGAAACUGAAUUAGGGUUACAGAAGUCGCCACCGUUAAGGAGGUGGAGCCAGCCUUGUGUGUACUGAAGCUUAUAUAGGCAUAUACUCACGGUUGUGUGUUGCUGUUGGUGCGGGUUCGGAGCAUAAGCGAUGGUGGUGGUGUGUCGAUUGAUGGCGGCGGCUUGCCGCCUGUUGGAUUGAUCGCGACUGAAUCGAUGGAGAAGGGGGCCGCGUUAGCAGAUGGAGAAAUAAGGUGAGAGAUCGAGUUAGAUAUGAUGGUAGAGAGGCUGGGUUGAUUGUGAAGCUGUUGAUGGUGCGGCGAAAGCAUGGAUGAAGGAUGGUUGCCGAGCGACGGUGAAAGUCGCAUGAGAUGCAGGUAGGGUGCGAGAACAGCCCUGUAGUGCUGCCGUGUUGUGGCUUAUAUGCUGCAGCGAGAAGGGAGGAGGGAUCAGCUGUGACAGAGAGAGGGAGGCAGACAAGUGUUUGAUUAAAUGUCUGUGAGAAAGAAAAGCUGGAGAAGGUGGGGUGCGGCUGCUGUUAGGUGUUGUAUAGAAGUGGGGGUGAUGAGUUGUGUUGGAAGUUGAAUGAAGGAGCUACUGUGAGCUGGUUUAUGAAGGCAGGAGUGUGUCGAUGGUUGUAGUGGGUCUGCUGGUUGGAGGCAGAUGCUUGUAUGGUUACCGGGGCAACGCGGAGGCAGUUGUUGUCACAGGUGGGUACUUGUGCCCAUAGGUCAGUCGUGUGAUUGAUUGUUGGAUUGAGUGCUGGUUGGAUUUGACGGGAGUUGUAGACGGUAGUGGGACAGCCAGAAUCUGGCCAGCCUAUUGCAGGAACAGGGGUAUGGGGAGGUGAUGUUCAUGACAUGAUUUGGUUGGAGAAAGUAAUGGGGAUAUUGAUAACGAUAAAGUCUGGUUCCGGCAGGUAGAGGUUUAGUUGUGGAUGGCGCUUUGAACUCGGCAAGUUGAUUAUAAUCAGGAGGGGAGUUUGAUGUGAAAAUUGAUGUAUAAAACAGUUCUGGCGUAGCCACCGGAGACUGGUCGGUGGUGCAAUACGAUUGUAGGUGUGUGUAUGAGUUGGAUACUUGUGGUGGAACAGUGCUUUAGACGGGAUAGUGGUGAAGGCUGGGGAAGAGGAAAUAUGAUAUGUUUUGUUAGAAGGGUUGCAGAAAGAAUUAGAGAGGAUACAGAGGUGCCAGGAGAAUAAAAUGUUAAUUUUAUUGUUGUUAUAAUUGUUAUUAUUGUUUUUAUUAACAAUGAUAAUAACGAUAAUAAUAAUAAUCUUUAAUAUUCUAUUGAGCCAAUUAUAGUCUCUCGAGACGUGUGCACCAACAAUUUUCAUAAAGCAAGCAAAUAGCGUGGCAAGGCAAGUCAGAAAUAAUUCGAUAAGGCAGAUGGUGCCGUAAGAUAGUCCAAUAGAGUGUGGUAAUUGGUGAGGUUAGCAAUUAAAGCCAAUCUAGGAAUCUCGAGUAUGUGACUAGGUUGUCACAAGCAUUUCUGUCAAAGGCAAGUAUUCCUAUUCUUCUCUUUUAUUUAAAGAGCAACUAUUUCAAUUCCUCUUUUCAUAAAGCAAGUUUGCAAUUAUAACUUGUACUUCCUGCAAGCAUGUUUCUGAUAUUUAAAAGUACUAAUGCUUCAAUCUUGUCUUGUGAUUUAAAAUAUCGAAUAUCUUUAGUUCGAUACUUUUUACUAUUAUAUGAGCAGUGACAACUUUCUUUGAAAAGUAUUCUGAUUAUUUUAAUCAGUUUUCUGGAAAUUAUUGUCUGAGUCCUUUUCCAGUUUGAAAACUAUUAAUGACUCCAUAGCAGUCAUAUUUCGAUACUACAAUAUAUGCCUGGUCUUCUGUCCCAGACAUAAACCCUGGAAAUUUUAAAUAGCGAAAAUAGUUGUUUUAAUUCCUUUGAGCCGCAUUGAGGUGGAUUUUAAAACUGUACUCAGACUUUAAUGAAAUUGAUUUUGACAGUAUUUUAAAACUGAAAAUGAAAGAGUUUUCAGAAAGGUUUUGAAAAAGAUGAUUGUAUGGCGUAAGGGGCUAGUGAUUAGUCCAGCCAGAGAGACCAGCAAAAUUAUUUUGUUUUGAUUGGAUGAAUGCGUAAGAGGCCGUGGCGGCGGUCCAGCGAAGGGCUAGGUAUUAUAUGAAAUAUAUAUAUAAUGCCAGAUUUGCCAAAGGCCAAUGUGUUGCCUUCUAUUCGGUACCUAUUGUUUGGAUCUACUUCUACGAAGCAUGAUUCGGUGCUAUCACAGGAUGUCCUGAUCAGCUGUGUUAGUGCGCCGUCAGUUGAGGAUUCCAAUCCAAAAACUGGUCAUUUAUUGUUUAAGCUUAUGAUAGCUUAUGUUUACUGUCAAAUAUAUCUUGUGAAUUUUCAAGCAUAUUGAUUUAUAUGUUUGAUAAACUUUUGAGUUACAAAUGUUAUGAUUUACUUCAAAAGUUUGCUCUAUUUCAAAUACUCUAAUUCAAUUCAAAAGAAUUUAUAUCUUGUGGCUCUUGCCUUUCCUAUUAUCUUGCUGAGCAUUUUUGCUCACUCUUGCUAUUGUUUCUCACCCUUUCAGCUAGGGAUUGAGAUAUCACCUGUAUAAGCUGCGCGUAAGAUUGAAGUUAGGCGAGAUUGCCAGGGAGAUGUUUACAAGAGUAGUUAUGGUUAGAAUUUGAUUUAUUUCAAUUCAGUUGUAAAUAGAUUUAUUUAUUUGGUUAUCAGUUAUUCUUCUUAUCGAAGUUUAGCUGUUAAUGUAGUUUAAGUUGUAAUAAGAUUGUAAGUUUUAGUUUCUGAUUUCAAUGCUGUAACCUAUUAGCGAUCCUGUUUUUAGGGGGUCAAAGUGAUUUUGAUUUAAAUCUCUUUUAAAAUUUCCAGAUUUUGAAA
Molecule: long non-coding RNA, 8462 nt
Organism: Daucus carota subsp. sativus
Lineage: Eukaryota; Viridiplantae; Streptophyta; Magnoliopsida; Apiales; Apiaceae
Exons: 3
Source: RefSeq, a predicted model, not a curated record